RNAcentral lists this ribosomal RNA (810 nucleotides) under uncultured bacterium. Its description in RNAcentral is "bacterial SSU rRNA". It matches the Rfam family "Bacterial small subunit ribosomal RNA", at positions 83 to 871 of the family's 1533-position model. The record is from RNAcentral.
UUAGAAAGUGGAGUGGCAAACGGGUGAGUAACGCGUAGACAACCUGCCGUGAAGAUGGGGACAACAGAUCGAAAGUUCUGCUAAUACCGAAUGUUGUAGAUCCUCCGCAUGAAGGAUUCACUAAAGGUGCCCUCUGUAUAUGGUACCGCUUCACGAUGGGUCUGCGUCUGAUUAGCUGGUGGCGGGGGUAACGGCCCACCAAGGCGACGAUCAGUAGCCGGUCUGAGAGGAUGAACGGCCACAUUGGAACUGAGACACGGUCCAGACUCCUACGGGAGGCAGCAGUGGGGAAUCUUCCGCAAUGGGCGAAAGCCUGACGGAGCAACGCCGCGUGAGUGAAGAAGGGCUUCGGCUCGUAAAGCUCUGUUGAAGGGGACGAACGUGAAAGCUGUGAAUAAUGGCUUUCAAUGACGGUACCUUUCGAGGAAGCCACGGCUAACUACGUGCCAGCAGCCGCGGUAAUACGUAGGUGGCGAGCGUUGUCCGGAAUUAUUGGGCGUAAAGGGAGCGCAGGCGGGCUGUCAGGUCCUGCUUAAAAGUGCGGAGCUCAACUCCGUGAUGGGCAGGAAACCGGCAGUCUUGAGUAUCGGAGAGGAAAGCGGAAUUCCUAGUGUAGCGGUGAAAUGCGUAGAUAUUAGGAGGAACACCAGUGGCGAAGGCGGCUUUCUGGACGAAAACUGACGCUGAGGCUCGAAAGCGUGGGGAGCGAACAGGAUUAGAUACCCUGGUAGUCCACGCCGUAAACGAUGAAUGCUAGGUGUAGGAGGUAUCGACCCCUUCUGUGCCGGAGUUAACGCAAUAAGCAUUCCG